UGGGGAAUAUUGCACAAUGGGGGAAACCCUGAUGCAGCGACGCCGCGUGGAGGAAGAAGGUCUUCGGAUUGUAAACUCCUGUUGUUGAGGAAGAUAAUGACGGUACUCAACAAGGAAGUGACGGCUAACUACGUGCCAGCAGCCGCGGUAAAACGUAGGUCACAAGCGUUGUCCGGAAUUACUGGGUGUAAAGGGAGCGCAGGCGGGAAGACAAGUUGGAAGUGAAAUCCAUGGGCUCAACCCAUGAACUGCUUUCAAAACUGUUUUUCUUGAGUAGUGCAGAGGUAGGCGGAAUUCCCGGUGUAGCGGUGGAAUGCGUAGAUAUCGGGAGGAACACCAGUGGCGAAGGCGGCCUACUGGGCACCAACUGACGCUGAGGCUCGAAAGUGUGGGUAGCAAACAGGAUUAGAUACCCUGGUAGUCCACACCGUAAACGAUGAUUACUAGGUGUUGGAGGAUUGACCCCUUCAGUGCCGCAGUUAACACAAUAAGUAAUCCACCUGGGGAGUACGACCGCAAGGUUGAAACUCAAAGGAAUUGACGGGGGCCCGCACAAGCAGUGGAGUAUGUGGUUUAAUUCGACGCAACGCGAAGAACCUUACCAAGUCUUGACAUCCUGCGACGGUUCUGGAAACAGAACUUUCCUUCGGGACGCAGAGACAGGUGGUGCAUGGUUGUCGUCAGCUCGUGUCGUGAGAUGUUGGGUUAAGUCCCGCAACGAGCGCAACCCUUAUGGUCAGUUACUACGCAAGAGGACUCUGGCCAGACUGCCGUUGACAAAACGGAGGAAGAUGGGGAUGACGUCAAAUCAUCAUGCCCUUUAUGACUUGGGCUACACACGUACUACAAUGGCGUUAAACAAAGAGAAGCAAGACCGCGAGGUGGAGCAAAACUCAGAAACAACGUCCCAGUUCGGACUGCAGGCUGCAACUCGCCUGCACGAAGUCGGAAUUGCUAGUAAUCGUGAAUCAGCAUGCCACGGUGAAUACGUUCCC
RNAcentral lists this ribosomal RNA (995 nucleotides) under uncultured bacterium. RNAcentral's name for it is "bacterial SSU rRNA". It matches the Rfam family "Bacterial small subunit ribosomal RNA", at positions 355 to 1375 of the family's 1533-position model. The record is from RNAcentral.